UGAGGGGUUAAGGCUCCCAGUAGACGACUGGGUUGAUAGGCCAGAUAUGGAAGCCCGGUAACGGGUGGAGUUGACUGGUACUAAUAGGCCGAGGGCUUGUCCUCAGUUG
This 109-nucleotide ribosomal RNA is filed under the name Streptomyces sp. SID8375. RNAcentral's name for it is "partial 23S ribosomal RNA". It matches the Rfam family "Bacterial large subunit ribosomal RNA", at positions 2821 to 2925 of the family's 2925-position model. Lineage: Bacteria; Bacillati; Actinomycetota; Actinomycetes; Kitasatosporales; Streptomycetaceae. The record is from RNAcentral.